Salvia splendens (bonfire salvia) is the source of this 3236-nucleotide long non-coding RNA. RefSeq lists it as uncharacterized. The transcript is spliced from 11 exons. Lineage: Eukaryota; Viridiplantae; Streptophyta; Magnoliopsida; Lamiales; Lamiaceae. The record is from RefSeq and is a predicted model, not a curated record.
CCAAAAUUCCUCUUUUGUACAUAAAUAUAUAAAUAUAAAUAAGUAAUUUUAUAAAAUAAUUAAAUAAUACUAUUGUAAUACGAAAAUAAUUAAAUAAGUAAUACUCCUACAGAAGGCUAUUCAAGCGGAAUUUUCACUGACCCCUAACGGCGGAGCUCCGAUAAAUAUUAAUGGAAGCCGUGGAAGCAGCAACGGUGGCGGCAGGCCAAGAACAGCAACCGCCGGCGAAGGUUGUAGAGCAGCUGAACCCUGCGCUUCAGCAGCAGCUCAAUCUGGACUCUUUAAAAACUCGCGCUAUCAGCCUGUUCAAAGCCAUCUCUCGCAUCCUCGAAGAAUUGGACGCUAUAGCGCGCGCGAAUGCCACCCCCAAAUAAUACGAGCAUGCCAUUUCAGUUCAACCAGUUUCCGCUGCAGUCGAGCAAAUUCUUUUGCAAUUGAUCAUUUAGGGUUUUGUUUGUGCAGGCAAGAUGUUUCGGGGCAGUUCUCGAUGGUUAAUUUGGAGCUAUAUAAUAUUGUUGAAGAUAUUAAGAAUGUAUCCAAGGCUUUCUCUGUACAUCCUAAAAAUGUUAAUGCUGAGAAUGCUACUAGUAUGUACACUACAUAAGUGGAUUAACUUUUUUCACUGCAGUCGUACUAUUCAGUUUAUGUAAGCAUUCACAUUAUUUAUCAUGUCGGUUAAUACUGAGAAUGCUAUUAGUAUGUGUUGAUUUAUCUGGUACACUGCACACGUAGAUUAAUCUUUUUCCUUUCAGUCAUUUUAUUUGGUUUAUUUUUCAUUGUGAUUAAGCAUUCACAUUAUUUAUCAGGGGUUAGCUAUAAGGUCGUUAAGAGUUUGUCGAAAUGUUGGCUUAUAAGAUUGCAUCACUUCAAGGCAUAAAAAGGCAAUGAGAAGGAGAAAGACAAAAGAGGAAUGACAAAUCCACAGCUGGGUUCUUUUGGGUGUUAUUUGGCUGCAGCUCUGCCUGUUAUGCUGUCAUCUAAGCUUUUGCCGGGAAUGGAGACGGAAGACAACACGAAGAGAGAACAGCUGUUACACGGUAUGCAGGGCCUUCCAGUGGUGGCAAAACAUGACAAGUUCAAGACUAGAAUUGAUAUGAAUCUAAGAGCAGCCUGUGGAAGUGCUGAGAUGAUCAUAGCUGAUGCCCGUAAGUCCUACUUUGGCACUCGACAUGGCCACAUGGGGCAAAUCUUCUCCCAACUAUUGACAAGGUUCAAGCUGCAAAAAUACAAGAACAAGAAAAUUAUUUACUCAGCUGCUCUCAACACGUUAUGAAUGUUUGUGCCACUUGAUCAGUUUCAGUUGUGUUUGAUGCACUUCAAGAAUUGCAUAUCCACAAGAUUACGAGUACCUGGAGACCAAAGACAAGUGGCAUUGUCACUUCCGAUGCACUUGGUAGAUGUACUUGCUACUAACGAGUAACGACAGGCUCCAGGAUUCAUCUGGGUUGUACCAGAAGCACGCCUCCACUCAUGUCAACUACUGCCAUUAAUAAUCAGGGCUCUUUAUUACAGCUUCUCACUUCACGGAGAAGAAGAAAAAUGCUGAUUUGGUGCAUGCGCCCUUGCUCAUCACUUAUGCCUCUAUGCUCUCUCUCUGUCCGCUUUUUGUGAUUCUACUGUAAGUUCUCCCUUUUCCUUUCUCUGUUUUGUUUUCGCUCGAUCGAUCCGCUUUUCUUAUACAAUUGAAGGUUGUUGUGGUCGCCUUCUGUGAAAACCAUCUGGAUGGUUUUGGCUGUUUUUAUUGAUUUUUAAGUGCUAGAUUAACGUAAUUGGAUUUGCUGUGACUUGACUUAACUCAUCAUUGGCGUCGACCGAUGCGAUUACUCGCAGUAGUUUGUUUGUUUGUUUACUGUGUUUGAUGGAUGCAUUAAAUUAAAUGAUGUUCAUGCUGAUGGAUCCGUGUUGCAAACAUGGGAUUAAUCUAUAUCUUUCCAAAGCCCACUGCCACUACAUGAAAGACCAUUGCUUGUUUUGAGGCUGUCCUCCAGCUUCUGCUCCCUUGGAGAAGGUGGCUAAUGGUGUUCUAGCAUAUGUGGUGAUGCUGGUUACAUAUCUUGGCCUCUGGUGGUAAGGAUCUUUCAAGAGUUUUCUCAUGCUUUAUUUCUUAUAUAAUAUUUUUUUUUUCUUUUUUUUUUCUGAUGUAUCAUACUUGUUCAUUUCUGUCUUCUCAUCGAAACUGAGCAUUGUGCUCUUAGUUGCUUAGUGCUUGCUCGAAAUCUCUCAAGCACUGUUUCUAGAUGUAGUCAACGUUUUAAGCCAAGGUGGUUUUUAUCUUGUAAGUUCCCUAACCUUCUAGUGCAGAGUUUAUGGAUAUCUUUGUAAUUUUUUUCAAGUUUGGAAUUUUCAACCUUACAAUAGUUUAUGACCAUUUGGGAGAGAUAUUUUCUGCAUUAAUAAAUUCGGGAGCUUCGUCUUUUGCAUAUUCCUGUACGUCAAUGAUCAAAGUAAGUAGUCAUGGCUAUAGGUAGGUACCUCUAAUAUUCCAAUUGUUCUCAGUUGCACAUGUUUUUUUCUCUGUUUUUCCCUAGGGCCAUGUUGCGCUAUCUUCAACAGAUUCUGGAUUGUAUGGAAACUUAAUUAUUGAUUUCUAUUGGGUGGAAUUUUGGUUCUAUCCUCGUAGUAGUCUUUGUUUCUGUCCCUGCAGCAGUACUUUGCUGUGUAGCCAAAAUAACAGUAACGUAAUGAAGACAGAUGGAAUCUUUUGUACAUAAAUUGUGGAAAUUUGUUGCUGAUAUAAUGAUCACUUAACCGAAAGUAAAAGAUUGAUCCGCUAUCUUUUUUCAGGGAAUGGAGUUGUAUCCUGGCAUUGUCAAAGUAUUCACAAACUGCAGAUUUGGAAUGAUGUCUUGGGCUGUUCUUGCUGUUACCUAUUGCAUAAAGCAGUACAAAACAUAUGGCAAGCCACCGAUUCUAUGUUGGUUAACACAGUAUUAGAACACAAUGGAAUCUGGAUAUAGCUCAUGAUAGAGCUGGAUUUUACAUCUGUUGGGGAUGUUUGGUGUGGGUCCCAUCUAUAUAUACAUCUCCUGGCAUGUACCUUGUGAAUCACCCGGUGAAUCUUGGAGUUAAGUUAACUUUGUGUUUCAGCUAGCAAUCCUCAUUCUUGUAGCAGCCAUACUCUGUAUAUACAUACACUACGAUUGUGACAGGCAAAUACAAGAAUUUAGGAGGACGAAUGGGAAAUGCCUGGUCUGGGGAAAAGCACCAUCCAAGGUGGGGCUUAGCUCGUAACUUCC